Molecule: long non-coding RNA, 209 nt
Filed under: Elaeis guineensis (African oil palm)
Lineage: Eukaryota; Viridiplantae; Streptophyta; Magnoliopsida; Arecales; Arecaceae
Description: long non-coding RNA (EGUI_LNC049654)
Source: RNAcentral
AGACCGCCACGGUGAUUUGCAAGCAACUCACUGCACUUAGGCACUGGACUAUCUGAAUUUCUAAUUCAGUGACGGAAGGUUGCUGGGUGUAGUCAAGUACUUGACUUGUUGGUGCGUGUGUCAAGAUGGGAUUGACCACUCCAGUUCAGGAGCUGUGUACAGUCGUGUUUCAAUUUAGCAAAACCUUGGCCAGGGUAGUCCUAGUGAGG